Long non-coding RNA from Onychostoma macrolepis, 2528 nucleotides. RefSeq lists it as uncharacterized. The transcript is spliced from 3 exons. NCBI's taxonomy places the organism in Eukaryota, Metazoa, Chordata, Actinopteri, Cypriniformes, Cyprinidae. The record is from RefSeq and is a predicted model, not a curated record.
AAGCGCGAAGUCUCGCGAGAGUAAGCUCCUGGGAGGCACGGAAGCACAGAAGAGAAAGGAAAACAAUACACCUGUCACUCACUAUUAAAAUGAAAAUUCAAGUGAAAAAUGUCGGAGGAUUUCGAUAUAAGGCAAGAGGAGACUGAGAUUUUUGUGCGCUUCUCCCCGGAGCUUACAUUGCGUAUUUCGCGGCGCCUACGUCAUACUCUCAACCGCCUUGUCGGGACCGCGCCUGGUCGAGACAGGAAGCUGGACUAAACGGUUUAUAAAGUUUUAAGAAUGGACAUUUUUCUUAAACUAACGCAUCGUUUCGCUUCAGAAGUCCUUUAUUAACACCCCGGAGCCGUGUGGAGUAGUUUUGCGAUGGAUGGGUACUUUUUUUCGGAUUCAGAAACAGGGGCACCAUUCACUGCAAUUAUACAGAUUGGAGCAGACAGGACAAUGUUGAAUAUAACUCCGAAUGUGUUCAUCUGAAAGAGGAAUAUCAGACACGCCUAGGAUGACCUGAGGGUGAGUACAUAUUUGGCUAAUUUUCAUUUUUGGGUGAACUAUCCCUUUAACAAACUCCUUUUGGAUCUGUGAGACCACGCCAGUGUUGAUGUGGACCAACAAAUUCUCACACAGCUCUCUGUAAUGACACCCCGAGUCCUUCAAGUUUUGUGAAGUUCAGGUCCAUUAUUGAUGACUGUGAACAUGGCAGACUGAAAAAAGGCCUACAGUUGGAAGCAGAUAUUCUGCUCUUGCCUGCUCUGUUCAAGGAGGACCCGGGGUUGCUGUUUGAAGUUGAGAUCCAUUCUCAGAUCAGCCCAUCCCAACACCUAUGAAGCUUAAAGGCUGUAGGGAGGGUCAUCUCGUGCAGUAUGACCACAUUGUGCUCACGUUGGAUGGACCGUUAUUCACAGAGGAGAGCGAGGACAUCUCGACGGCACUGGGACUCCUCCUGUGUGUAUAUUUUGUGUUUGGAAUCCAGUAUCCUAAAGCAGCGGUUCUCAAUUCCAGUCCUGCCGACCUGCCCCCACAUGUUGUACGUCUCGCUUAUUUAACACACCUGAUUCAGAUCAUGAGCUUGUUAGAAAAGAGCUCCAUGAAUGAACUGUGCUCUGACUAACAUGGUCCCUACACAGUGUCCCUACACGGAACAUUUCAGAUUUACACUACUUCCUGUCACUGUAAGUCAAUAUUCUCUAUUUCUGAGCCUCUUCCAGGUCUAGUUGUAGUUUAUAUUUUUUAAAUCCUGAAGGACUUACAAAAAUGUUAAUACACUGUUGACAGUGAAAGAGUGAAAGAUACUGCAGUACUUAGUUUGCAAGUGGUUGUGUAUUUUCAGUAAUUUCACUCACUCACCAUUAAGGUUUAAAAGAUGAGAUUUUCCAAAUAAAUUAAAGAACUAAUGUAGGCCCAAGACGAAAAAGGUGAAAAAGUUACCUGAUUAUAGGGCUACAGUAUGUAUAUGUGUGUGUGUGUGUGUGUGUGUGUGUGUGUGUGUGUGUAAACCAGGACUCUCUUCUUCAAAAAUUUACAUAUUUCAAGCUUGUUGCACUAUUUUGUAUAUGUAUAAAACAACAACUCCCCGUAUAUUGUGAUGUUGUAUAUGUAUAUUCCCUGGCUUGUCAGCACUCAUUUUAUUUGCUGCUGAAAUAAAUAAAUUAAAAGGUUUUGAAAGUGGGAUGUAGUUUGUUUCUCAGUAAGCAUUUAGUACAGGAAUUUGAAUCUUUAAAGCUGCAAUUUGGUAAGAAAUGAUUAGUUAUCAUUCAUCUUAAGUAAAAGUGUAAUUUAGAAGCAUAUUGGCUCAUCUACGGUAGUAAUAUAUGGCACCUCUAAUGGUUCUGUGUAACACAAUUUGACAAAUGUGCUAUAAAGCUUCUUAUCUUUAAGAAUAUGUGCCAUAUAAUACCAAAAGAGGUUUCCCUAUGAUAAGCCACUGCAAUAAAGUGCUACAGUAUAUGGCACCUCUUAUGGUUCUAUAUAGCACCUUUAAAGAUCGGUGCUAAAUAGCACUAAAAGUGGUUCCCCUGUGAUUAUGAGCCAAAGAACCACUUUUAGUGCUAUUUAGCACCUUUUUUUUUUAGAGUGUAUGAACAGAGCUAGACAUUAUAAAUACCAGUAAACAGUUUUGAUUGAACUUAUUAACUAAACUGAUUGAACUAAUUAUUAUUAUUGUGUAAUUAUUUGUGUAUGGAUAUAUAGGCUGCCAUUAUGGGGCUACAUAAGCCAUAUUCCCUGCAAAUGAACCCUUAGAUCUUUAGAUUUGUUCAGACAGUUAGUAAAAUCACUGAAAUUCUGCUGCCCCAAAGGUCCAAAGUUGUAAUAUUACAACAUUUCACUAAAAAUGUACUAAACUAUCAAAAAUGUUAAAGCUAAUUUAUUUCUGCAUUAGAGGCCUCCCACAACAACAUAUAAAUGGUGAAAUAAUUUUUUCACAGGUUUUUUUUUUUUCUAAAUUUGGGUCUUUCAGGGUUAACAACACUCGCUGCGUGGAUCAUAGUUCAUAUCCGGACCGGAGCAAAUGUGUUUCCAGUUUUUGUGAG